This 167-nucleotide non-coding RNA is filed under the name Mycoplasmopsis verecunda. RNAcentral describes it as "Mycoplasma verecundum Lysine sequence". It matches the Rfam family "Lysine riboswitch aptamer". From Rfam's summary of the family: Riboswitches are metabolite binding domains within certain messenger RNAs that serve as precision sensors for their corresponding targets. The record is from Rfam by way of RNAcentral. Lineage: Bacteria; Bacillati; Mycoplasmatota; Mycoplasmoidales; Metamycoplasmataceae.
AAAAACUAUAGAGGAGCUUUUAGUAAUAGUAAAUAUUCUAGUGGGCACACGAUAAUGAAUAUUGAAAGGAUAUAAAAGCCGAAGCAUUUAAAGUGGCAACUUUAAAGCUGGUAGAAAAGCAUAAAAGAUUUCUACUCUUUGUUAACAACAUUGGUGCUAUAGAUUUG